GAUGAACGCUGGCGGCGUGCCUAAUACAUGCAAGUCGAGCGAACGGACGAGAAGCUUGCUUCUCUGAUGUUAGAGGCGGAAGGGAGAGUAACACGUGGAUCACCUACCUAUAAGAAUGGGAUAACUUCGGGAAACCGUAGCUAAUACCGGAUAAUAUUUUGAACCGCAUGGUUCAAAAGUGAAAGACGGUCUUGCUGUCACUUAUAGAUGGAUCCGCGCUGCAUUAGCUAGUUGGUAAGGUAACGGCUUACCAAGGCAACGAUGCGUAGCCGACCUGAGAGGGUGAUCGGCCACACUGGGACUGAGACACGGUCCAGACUCCUACGGGAGGCAGCAGUAGGGAAUUUUCGGCAAUGGGCGAAAGCCUGACGGAGCAACGCCGCGUGAGUGAUGAAGGCCUUCGGAUCGUAAACUGCUGUUAUUAGGGACGAACAGAUGUCUAAGAAAACGGGAGCAUCUUGACGGUACCGAAUCAGAAAGCACCGGCUAACUACGUG
Molecule: ribosomal RNA, 497 nt
Filed under: uncultured bacterium
Lineage: Bacteria
Description: partial 16S ribosomal RNA
Rfam family: Bacterial small subunit ribosomal RNA
Source: RNAcentral